This 4579-nucleotide unclassified non-coding RNA is filed under the name Eurytemora carolleeae. Its description in RNAcentral is "eye-specific diacylglycerol kinase". Lineage: Eukaryota; Metazoa; Arthropoda; Copepoda; Calanoida; Temoridae. The record is from RNAcentral.
UUAUUGAUUAUCAUUUUCUUUUUUCAGAGACCAGCACAAUGUGAAUUAAUGAUUGAAAUAUUAAAACUGCGUGAAAGUGAAAUUUUUGAAUAAGUCAGAAACCAGAAAGUGUAAAUAUGAUUCGAUGUAAAAAUUCUAUAAAAAUUUCAUAAACGAGAUAACAGAUAUCUAACAUUACUUAGAUCAGGGAAUAGAAGAGCUUGAAGCAGUGGGGAAAUGUUACCUAUGCGUGCAUGAAGGUGCUGGGAUGUGUACUGCUUAAGACACUCAUGUAGGUUAGAGAGAGGGGGAGUACUGAUCUCCCAUCUUCAGCUGCAGAUCCUGCAGUGACGACUCCUGAUAAUGCUGUCAGCACCAUCAGGUUCCUCUAGUUUAGUUCCACUUCCUGACCAGACACUUCCGCUCUCCACAAUUAGAAAAUCGGCUUCAGAUGGACAGGUUGUUCCCUUGGGUAGUGUUGGAUCCAGGAGGGUGAGCAAUCAAUCCCUUCCCUCUCCCACGGAGGAGGAAAUGGUUCCACGGCGGGGAAGCGACGGUGAGAUCUCGAUGAUGGAAAACUCCAACGAUGACGAUCCUUGUUCCCCAGUUGCGCUCGGGAUUACAGACUGGAGCGAUUGCGCGAGUCCUAACGCGCACAUUUUUGUCCCGACUUCUGGGAGUGUACAAAGCUGUUAUCUGGCACAAGAUUGUUUGCAUUCAGGGAUGAAGUUUAAAUGCGUUGCCUGCAGAACUAUCGCACAUCAAGGUUGUAUCUCUGCCUUAAAUAGUGUGUUUCCUUGUAAGCUAACCUUCAGAGAGUGUGUGAGGAAGUAUCGUGAACAAACGGAUGUUCAUCACCAUUGGGUCAUUAGGAAGCAGAUGAAAGGGAAGUGUAUAUCUUGCCACAAAAACUUCCAAUCCAAGCUCGGUUCCAAGUUUAGCAGUGCAGCUGUUGGUAUCAACUGCUCCUGGUGUAAGCUAGCGCUGCACAACUCUGACACAUGCCGCGCUCUUGUCGUAUCCAAUCCAGUCUGUGAUCUCGGAGUACACUCAGGUAUCAUAAUCCCUCCGUCCUGGAUUAUAAAGCUCCCUCGGAAGGGAUCCUUUAAAUCCAGCAUCAAAAAUUCCCCUAAGCGCAGUGGCGAACAUAGACUCCAAAUUUGUGAAAAAGUGCGCACCGAACAAGCUACCAAAGUGCCAAAGGAACACCCAACCUUCCUCCUCAAACCUAUUCCUGUAGCUCACGGGUGUCCGGUCAUAGUGUUUUUAAACCCUAAGAGUGGGGGAAACCAGGGAGAGAAACUCAUGCAAAAAUUUCAGUGGCUCCUGAACCCUAGACAGGUUUUUGAUCUUAGUCAAUCUGGACCUCUUCCUGCAAUAGAACUAUAUAAACGUGUUCCUGGAGUCAGGUUCCUGGCGUGUGGCGGAGAUGGGACAGUAGGUUGGGUUCUAUCCGUACUAGAUAAGGCUGAUGUCCCGUCCCCACCUCCAGUGGGUGUGCUACCCCUAGGAACUGGGAAUGAUCUAUCCCGGACCCUGGGUUGGGGUGGAGGGUAUACUGAUGAACCGAUUAGUAAAAUUCUUAUCUCCCUACAACACGCAGAUAUAAUCAAUGUUGACCGAUGGCAGCUCUCUCAUCAACCUAAUCCAGAAUAUCCGCCCAGUGAUAAGGGAGAGGACCGGCUACCCAUGCAGGUGGUGAAUAAUUACUUUUCCCUGGGUGUGGACGCCCUCAUAGCUCUCCAGUUUCACGAGGCCAGAGAGGCCAAUCCUCAGAAGUUCAACUCUAGGAUCCGGAACAAAAUAUUCUACGGACAGACCGGAGGUAAAGAUUUAAUUCUCCGGAAAUGGAAAUCUUUGACGGACUAUAUCCGGGUCGAAUGUGACGGACGGGAUAUAACGCCUAAGCUCCGUGAGCUGAAAGUCCUGGCGGUCAUUUUUCUCAACAUUCAUCAUUAUUCGUCCGGGACCCGUCCUUGGAAUCGUCAAUUCGGCGAGCAGCGUCUGGACGACGGACUGCUGGAGGUUAUUGGUGUGACGACAUAUCAGUUCCCGCUUCUACUCGCUGGAGGUCAUGGACACUGUAUUACACAAUGUCAGACUGCUCGAAUAACAACAAUGAAGACAAUACCUAUGCAAGUGGACGGAGAGGCUGUCAGAGUUAAUCCUUCUGUUAUAGAGAUAAGGUACCUGAACCAGGCCAAAAUGCUUGUGAAGAGGCAGAGUGGGAGUAAGGUUCGGAGUACAGGUCUACCCUGUGCUCUGCUCAGGAUUGGAGUUUCCAAGAUAUCUAUGGUGGACUACGAGGUGUACCAUUGUAACAAGGAUCAGCUGAAAUCGUUAGCAAAACCUUUCGGUGAACUCAAUGUAGAAUCAACAGCUGACUUAGAACAGGUUCGGUCCCUAGUUAGAAAACUACAAGAAAACAAUAUUGGUCCUGUACAAUCCAAGCUUCAGUCGGAAUGGUGUUUCCUAGACUCAGUUACUGCCGAGAGAUUUUUCAGGGUGGACAGGGCACAAGAAAAUUUACAUUUCUUGCCGGACAUUUGUGAGAACACCUUGUAUAUUCUUGAGACAGAGGAAAUAGUCGAGGAUAUUCAGAGUAACCUCUCUAAUCUACUCCCUGAAGAUCUGAUGACUCCACCCCGGUCCCCACUCACCCCUAUACCUGGAGACCCACUCCACGAGGAUAGAUUACCUACCACUCAACCAUCAUCAGACAAUGAACUGCUAGAUGAGGAAGAAAAUCACCAGAAAAGAGUUGGAGCUCUUAAAGAGCGUGGUGGAAUUGAUGCUUCUGUUCCAACCUUUGGUCUCACACCUCCUGAUGAUGACUCCCUGAAAACUACAGAUGGGAUCCUAAAGGCAGCUCGGCUAGGGGAUUUAAAGAUGCUACGUGAAUUGUGUACUGAAGGAUAUUCUCUACUCUCUAGGGACGAAACAGGGAAAACAGCACUUCACUAUGGUGCAAGGUUUGGACAUAAAGAGAUAAUUAAGUUCUUAGUGAUGAACGGCCCUCCUACUUUGAUUGACAUGACUGAUUAUGAGAAGGGACACACUGCUUUACAUAAAGCCGCGGCAUACAAGCGCAGAACCAUCUGUUGCAUGCUAGUGACUGCAGGCGCCAACCUUAUUAUAGAGGAUUCUUCAGGAAAAACUGCCCAACAGUUGGCGCUGAGCGCUGAAGACGACGAUCUGAGCGCCUACCUAGAGUCCCAGGAACUAUUCCAGACUUCAAAUAAAGAUUUUGAAACUCAAGUUUGAAUUGGUCAAACAGAAAUUUAGAGGCUUCCGGAGCAAACGUAUAUGUUAAGACCACGAAAAAAUUCCAUUCUUCCGAUAUUAUCACUAAUUCGAUAUAUGUGUGAAACUAUUUAUAGAUUUAUUAUUGGUAUGAGCUAAACCCUUCGUUUCACAAUUGAAAAUCAAGAGUUUUGAUUUUAGUUGGUAUUGAUUAUUUAUAUGAUUAUUGAUUACUCAGUAUUAUGAUAAUUUUUCUAGAUUGUUGGGAUUAUCAUUAGGGUUGAAUUCAGUGUAUGAAAAUAAUCCUUUACUCUUCCAGUAUCCAUGUCAUGACACAAUGUAACGCAAAAGUAUUUUUUAUUUUUCUUAUUCUCGUAAAUCCAGAUUUUCUGUUAAUCCCUGCAUCUAGUAUUUAGUUGUGAGUACUAUUUUAAAAAUCAUCUUUAUAAACUUCUUUAUACUCAAUCUAGUCAAAACAAAUGGAAGAAAAUAUUAUAUUUAUUGACCUGUAAGGAAGGUUAAUCCUACAGGCUCUCCUGGUGUCUCAUAUACAUAUAUUGUAUAAUGCAGGGUCAACUUUAUUAUUUCAGUGUUAACAAACCCUUCUGCACAAGACUCCAUCUAUCUAAGGCUCGAAUAGUACAAUUUAUUUAUGUAUAUCCCAAACCAGACUAUGUACUCAUGCAUAUCUUUGUCUAUGUUUAUCUUCAUGCAUAGUGCAUACCCCUGCUAUGCAUUAUUCACUUCUAUUGUUAAAUGGACAAAUUGAAAAAUUUGAGUUAAAAUCUAUGUACAAUAAGUACUUGGCUUUGUACAAAUUGUCUGUCCUUGUUCCCUGGCCGUUGUACAAUUUUUACCCUAUCUUCCUGCAGAAAAUUGUGUACAAUGUACAUUUAAGGUUGUUAAUUUUGUACACUGUACACGUCCAUCUGUUAUGUACUGUUCUGAUAAUACGAUAAAAACAAGUUCUUAUUAUGCGAUUUAAUGAAAAUUAAUUAAUUUAAAUUAAUUCCGCGUUGUGCCAAAUAUUUUGAAGAUCAAGAUUAUUCUUAAAGUUAUUUUUCAAUAAUAAAUUAUUUAUUCUGACGUAAAGAUAAUUCCUAGUUAUUAUCUGGUAAUUAUUAACUUUAGAUUAUUUUAUAAUUAACUUCUGUUUCUAUGCUUUAAAAAGUCUGUUAAAUUAUUUUUGAUUCUCAAAUAAUAUUGUCUAUUAUUAUUUUUCACCUUACUCCAGGCGUUCAUAUAUUAUUACUAAGGAAGGAUUUUAAAAUAUGAAAGUUGUAAAAACCGUUUUCUUAUCUCUGCAUGGUUUGUAAACAACUGGUUUAUUUUGGGAAUAAACACCUUAAACUCUUAA